RNAcentral lists this ribosomal RNA (320 nucleotides) under uncultured eukaryote. RNAcentral describes it as "partial 18S ribosomal RNA". It matches the Rfam family "Eukaryotic small subunit ribosomal RNA", at positions 1470 to 1796 of the family's 1831-position model. The record is from RNAcentral.
CCCCUAGAUGUUCUGGGCCGCACGCGCGCUACACUGAACAGUUCAACAAGUCUUAACCUUGGCCGAUAGGUCUGGGUAAUCUUUGAACGCUGUUCGUGAUUGGGAUAGACCUUUGCAAUUAUGGGUCUUCAACGAGAAAUUCCUAGUAAACGCAAGUCAUCAGCUUGCAUUGAUUACGUCCCUGCCCUUUGUACACACCGCCCGUCGCACCUACCGAUUGAAUGGUCCGGUGAAAUCUCGGGACGGCGGCUUGGUCGCUUGCGUCCGACUGCUGAAACUUGAUUAAACCAUAUCAUUUAGAGGAAGGUGAAGUCGUAACA